UACGGGAGGCAGCAGUGGGGAAUAUUGCACAAUGGGCGCAAGCCUGAUGCAGCCAUGCCGCGUGUAUGAAGAAGGCCUUCGGGUUGUAAAGUACUUUCAGUCGUGAGGAGGGUGUUAAGGUUAAUAACCUUAGCAAUUGACGUUAGCGACAGAAGAAGCACCGGCUAACUCCGUGCCAGCAGCCGCGGUAAUACGGAGGGUGCGAGCGUUAAUCGGAAUUACUGGGCGUAAAGGGCACGCAGGCGGUUAAUUAAGUUGGAUGUGAAAUCCCCGGGCUUAACCUGGGAAUGGCAUUCAAGACUGGUUAGCUAGAGUCUUGUAGAGGGGGUAGAAUUCCAUGUGUAGCGGUGAAAUGCGUAGAGAUGUGGAGGAAUACCGGUGGCGAAGGCGGCCCCUGGACAAAGACUGACGCUCAUGUGCGAAAGCGUGGGGAGCAAGACGAGUAGUAGACCUCCUCGUGAAC
RNAcentral lists this ribosomal RNA (463 nucleotides) under uncultured bacterium. RNAcentral describes it as "bacterial SSU rRNA". It matches the Rfam family "Bacterial small subunit ribosomal RNA", at positions 340 to 795 of the family's 1533-position model. The record is from RNAcentral.